This is a long non-coding RNA of Sebastes umbrosus (honeycomb rockfish), 2397 nucleotides long. RefSeq lists it as uncharacterized. Lineage: Eukaryota; Metazoa; Chordata; Actinopteri; Perciformes; Sebastidae. The transcript has 2 exons. The record is from RefSeq and is a predicted model, not a curated record.
CAAUAACAGUGCGCAGGAUGUGCAGCCCGUUCAGGUGAUCAAAUACCGCUGCUUUGUCACGCCCCUCAACGUCUGAUACCGAGGCACAAAUCCCCCCUUUGUCAGAUACCAAGCAGCCGUAUUUGACCGAUGAGAACGGAGAGCAGCUGAGUCACAGCCAGCGUACAGGAUGAAGCCUGCCCUUCGGCGGCAUUCAUUCAAAAUCCGGCAACUCGGCACCACCCCACAGGGUUGUGCAGAGGUGUGGUUGUGUUUAUUUGUGUUUUAGAACGUAACCGCAGUGAAACAAUCAAAGAAUAAAGUUUUAUUUCUCUGAUUGGCAGUUUUAUUCUCACCAACGCCGCUCCCUCUCUUCAUUCACUCUAUAGCUCCCUCCACCAUCGCUGCUCUCUCUCCCUCUCCCUCGCUCGUUGAGCUGAGGAGGGGCCAACACAAGGAUGUAUUAAGAGAACUGGAUACAGUGUUGGAGGCGGGGCCCCGUUCAUUCCUAUGAGAGUUGUUCAGUGGUGCACGAAGACAAAAUGGAUCGACUUCCGUCUGGAAAAGUUACCGGAUCAUGGGCUAUUAGAAUAUUCGUACUGGGAAGUUGAUUCAACAAAAAAAAAAAAAUCCGCUGAGUUACAUGGGAAAAAGUAUUUUUGGGUCCAAUGGCAUCACGUGACUGACAUGGAAGUUGCAGUACCGCUGUUUGGCCGCUACGAAAGUUGGGAUCGACGACCGGCGCUCUUCCUGGGGGCUUGGCAUGAAGCUUAAAUGGCUCGACUUCCAUCUGAAAUAGUACCGGGAACUUGGGCACAUGGAACAUGCGCAGUAGCGUCCGCUCGGUCACAUGACUCGGUCACGGGGUCCCAACGUCACACCGUCGUUACGGCUUGCGCUCCAGCCUCGGUCUGGGUCUCAUUCACAAGAACGGAGGAAGGGAAAUAACUCUAGAUUCGGCUAUUGGUGUUUGUACUAACUUUUAACUUCUAACUAACUUUUAACUUCUAACUAACUUUUAAAAUUUAUUUUUUUAAAUAAGGGCUGUAAGAGUAUUCAUACUGGGAAGUUCAUUCACCUCAAAAAAAAAGAUCCGCUGAUUUAUAGACGUCUCUUUCCCAAUGAAAGUCUAUGGGAAAAAGUCUUUUUGGGCCCAAUGGCAUCACGUGAUGGACACGGAAGUUGUAGUAAAAAGUAGCAUCUUGACAAAUCAGAUUGCACCACUAAUAUUUCCCAGCAUCAACGCACAUCAGCGUUCCAGGAAAGCAGAAAUUUGAGCAUCGCACGCAUCCAGGCUUCCGUAUGACUUCUCUCUGUAAAGUGCACGCAGUGUGCAUUAUUAACGUCAAAUGUCACUACAGUACACAACGCAGAGACAGACUCCUUCAGUCAUAAUAUAAUGAAAAAAUGUACAUUAGAUGUUCUUUGAACCGUAUGCUAAAAACCAACUGACAGGAUUAGGUCUGAAAUUAUUUGUAUGCUAGAAAUUGAUGAAGAGAUACAGGAUCCAGGGCAAAAUGGGAAGAACUGUCUUGAAGGGCAGUGAGGCAGGUUUUUAUACACAGGCCAGGCCUGAGACUGCUGGAAUAAAAUAGGAGGAAGUUUCUUCUUAUUGGAUGUGAAAGCUACUAACGGACCAAUACCUGAUUUUAAUAACAAUUAUCCCAGUAUAUCAGCAAUAUAUCACUCUAACAGUACCAUAAACAAACCAUACACACCAAGGACGAGGACAGCUAGAGUACAGACACACAAGACAGGGGCUGAUGCUACAUGUGGGUCCAGCGAUGGAGGGAAAAUGUUGCUGAGGUAGGAGGGAUUCAUUAUAAACCAACGGGUAUGUUUGGGCUCCUAUUUACACACUGGACUGACUCAAGUCUGGCUCAAGCGAGUCAGACUGUCGGAAUACACACCUUGGAGGUUUAGCUGCCACCCUGCUGGCUUGAUCGAGUCACAUCGUGUCAAUAUUUUAGAGAUAGUGUCACUAUGGCCAUUAAAAUUUAAGCUGCAUCUGUCACCAGCCUGCUACCUGAGAGUUGUAUCUGCUAGAGUUAAUUAUGUAAUAAGGCGCUCGCAUCAGGGACCCGGGCCUGGAUCCUAGUAUUGACCCCAAAGUCCAGUUUGUUUGAUUAGUGUGAACACUGUGUACUAGGCACGUUUCAACGACGGGCGGUCUCGAGUACAGAUCAUGUGUACUCGGGUACAAUUCGCAUCAGGUGUGAAAACUAACUGUACCAAAACACCAAAGCGGACUGCUAUUUAAUACGUGUAGAAGUUGGCAAGUAGACUUGCAGAGGCAUUUUUCGGAAAUCUGCAUAUGCGCGCAGCACGCUCCGGUCGCAAUCCUCUUAUCUACACAGCAGGGUUAUUAUAAGCAGUGUAAAAUAUUUUUAGUAAACUGAAACUAAAUAAAAACUAUAU